Long non-coding RNA from Gasterosteus aculeatus aculeatus (three-spined stickleback), 570 nucleotides. NCBI's taxonomy places the organism in Eukaryota, Metazoa, Chordata, Actinopteri, Perciformes, Gasterosteidae. The record is from Ensembl.
CAACAACUCACCAAGAGACACACAACAACUCACCAAGAGACACACGGCAACACCAAAGAGACACUAAGAGAUUCAAAGUGAUCAAUAUUUAAGAAUUAUCAGAGAAAAACGCAUGGAGGAAGAUCAUGAAGAAGGUCCUGAGGUAUAAAAUGCCUCUUUAGCGCAAUGAGGCCUGAAGCUGAGUACGAUGCUCUGGACCAGAAACCAGACCGGAGGAAGGAGGACCAGCUGGUCAAACUGACCCAGCUGGACCUCAUUAAAGAGAAGGACAGAGAACCAGAACCUGCAACAAGGCUUUAGAGGACCAGACCCCCAGAGACCUGCCCCUGAAAGAACAAAGCCCCAGAAUAAAAGCCUCGGACAGGAAGUCGGAGAAGGAGCGGUUGGACGUGAAAUUAAAAGAUAUGGAGGACGAGAAGAUGCAGCAGGAAGGAAGCAGUGAAGGAUAAAAACUGGCUUCAUCUGUUUAGCGCAGGUAGUUUGGUAGUUAGCAUGUUAGCUUGGACAAUGCAUGCAACUGGAGAAAAAGUAAACAUGCCGUAAUGUUGCUGUGCUCAUUAAAUAUUAUUG